UACGGAGGAUGCGAGCGUUAUCCGGAUUUAUUGGGUUUAAAGGGUGCGUAGGCGGACUGUCAAGUCAGCGGUAAAAUUGAGAGGCUCAACCUCUUCCCGCCGUUGAAACUGGCGUUCUUGAGUGGGCGAGAUGUAUGCGGAAUGCGUGGUGUAGCGGUGAAAUGCAUAGAUAUCACGCAGAACUCCGAUUGCGAAGGCAGCAUACCGGCGCCCUACUGACGCUGAGGCACGAAAGCGUGGGUAUCGAACAGG
RNAcentral lists this ribosomal RNA (252 nucleotides) under uncultured bacterium. Its description in RNAcentral is "partial 16S ribosomal RNA". It matches the Rfam family "Bacterial small subunit ribosomal RNA", at positions 524 to 776 of the family's 1533-position model. The record is from RNAcentral.